Long non-coding RNA from Dicentrarchus labrax (European seabass), 863 nucleotides. RefSeq lists it as uncharacterized. Lineage: Eukaryota; Metazoa; Chordata; Actinopteri; Moronidae. The record is from RefSeq and is a predicted model, not a curated record. The transcript is spliced from 2 exons.
UCCCUCUCCCUGUGCAGGUUUGACUUUGAAAACAGGUAUGCUACCUUAAAUCUAACUCUCAAAAGCUUUGAUUAAUGUAGUUUAGCUAUGCUAAUGGUAUGUUUAUUGACAGGGAAUGCUCGUCAGCUGGCCGAAAUCUACAGGUGGCGAUUCACGUGCCUUCACCACCAGCUGAUUGGGACCGCUGCUGUUUUGUCUCUGUUUUGUCUCUGCUUUGUCUCUGCCUUGUCGCUGCUUUGUCGGUGUUUUGUCUAUGCUUUGUCUACACUGAUUUAUUUACAUUGCUUUGUCCGCACCGCUUUGCCUCUGCCGUUAAACACACGGUUGCUGUGUUUAUACCGCUUUGUCGACUAUAUGUCUGCUGUUGUGCCCCUACUGCUAGCUGCAUAGCUGUGUCUCUGCUGCUGUAUGGGACAUUGUCCCCUGCUUUGCCUCUGCAGUCACUUAUUCCUUGCUGCCGUGUUCUGCGGCUCUGGCUGCUUGGUGGCUUCUGGCUACAGCCGGCUUGCAUGGUGAACUGCAGACACUAUACUUUUAAUCUGUUUAUCUCUUUUUAUUUUAGCUGAACGAUGUGGCUGCAGGCUGGUGGUGGUGCUGGUGACGUGGGUGGUGGUGUCCCUCCUUCUUGUGUGCUGUGCUUCCUUGGAUUUGGUGAUACCACAGUGUGUGACUGCCACGUGUGUCUGGGUGAACCCUUUUUCUUUAAUUUAACUUUGUUGAGUCCCCUUCCCCUUCACCUGCUCUUUCCCCACCAGUAGGCCUCAGCCCCUGAUUAGGCUCCCUUUUUCAUUUAUUGGGAUGAAUGCUAUUUUUUUAUAAUGAUAUAUAUAUUUAUUAAAUAAAGUAUUUUUGUAAACUGGGAA